CCAAGGCCAUAUCACCCUGCAGCCCAAGACAGGCUACUCACUAAAGCUAAGCAGGGGUAACCCCGCUAAGUACCUGGAUGGGAGUCUACAUGGAAAAAUUAGGUUGCUGUUAGGA
Molecule: ribosomal RNA, 115 nt
Filed under: Danio rerio (zebrafish)
Lineage: Eukaryota; Metazoa; Chordata; Actinopteri; Cypriniformes; Danionidae
Source: RNAcentral